ACGUUCGGAUUGCAGUCUGCAACUCGACNGCAUGAAGCUGGAAUCGCUAGUAAUCGCGGAUCAGAAUGCCGCGGUGAAUACGUUCCCGGGUCUUGUACACACCGCCCGUCACACCAUGGGAGUCAGUAACGCCCGAAGUCAGUGACCGAACCGAGAGGACGGAGCUGCCGAAGGCGGGACGGAUAACUGGGGUGAAGUCGUAACAAGGUAAC
Molecule: ribosomal RNA, 212 nt
Filed under: uncultured bacterium
Lineage: Bacteria
Description: partial 16S ribosomal RNA
Rfam family: Bacterial small subunit ribosomal RNA
Source: RNAcentral